UACAGAGGUCCCAAGCGUUGUUCGGAUUCACUGGGCGUAAAGGGUGCGUAGGUGGUUGGGUAAGUCUGAUGUGAAAUCUCCGAGCUCAACUCGGAAACUGCAUCGGAUACUAUUCAACUCGAGGGUUGGAGGGGGGACUGGAAUGCUUGGUGUAGCAGUGAAAUGCGUAGAUAUCAAGCGGAACACCAGUGGCGAAGGCGAGUCCCUGGACAACUCCUGACACUGAGGCACGAAAGCUAGGGGAGCAAACGGG
RNAcentral lists this ribosomal RNA (253 nucleotides) under uncultured bacterium. Its description in RNAcentral is "partial 16S ribosomal RNA". It matches the Rfam family "Bacterial small subunit ribosomal RNA", at positions 524 to 776 of the family's 1533-position model. The record is from RNAcentral.